RNAcentral lists this ribosomal RNA (1651 nucleotides) under Salmonella enterica subsp. enterica serovar Enteritidis. RNAcentral's name for it is "partial 23S ribosomal RNA". It matches the Rfam family "Bacterial large subunit ribosomal RNA", at positions 1292 to 2925 of the family's 2925-position model. The record is from RNAcentral. Lineage: Bacteria; Pseudomonadati; Pseudomonadota; Gammaproteobacteria; Enterobacterales; Enterobacteriaceae.
GAAUGCUGACAUAAGUAACGAUAAAGCGGGUGAAAAGCCCGCUCGCCGGAAGACCAAGGGUUCCUGUCCAACGUUAAUCGGGGCAGGGUGAGUCGACCCCUAAGGCGAGGCCGAAAGGCGUAGUCGAUGGGAAACGGGUUAAUAUUCCCGUACUUGGUGUUACUGCGAAGGGGGGACGGAGAAGGCUAUGUUGGCCGGGCGACGGUUGUCCCGGUUUAAGCGUGUAGGUGUGUGUUCCAGGUAAAUCCGGUUCACUUUAACACUGAGGCGUGACGACGAGGCACUACGGUGCUGAAGCAACAAAUGCCCUGCUUCCAGGAAAAGCCUCUAAGCAUCAGGUAACAUCAAAUCGUACCCCAAACCGACACAGGUGGUCAGGUAGAGAAUACCAAGGCGCUUGAGAGAACUCGGGUGAAGGAACUAGGCAAAAUGGUGCCGUAACUUCGGGAGAAGGCACGCUGACACGUAGGUGAAGUGAUUUACUCAUGGAGCUGAAGUCAGUCGAAGAUACCAGCUGGCUGCAACUGUUUAUUAAAAACACAGCACUGUGCAAACACGAAAGUGGACGUAUACGGUGUGACGCCUGCCCGGUGCCGGAAGGUUAAUUGAUGGGGUCAGCGCAAGCGAAGCUCCUGAUCGAAGCCCCGGUAAACGGCGGCCGUAACUAUAACGGUCCUAAGGUAGCGAAAUUCCUUGUCGGGUAAGUUCCGACCUGCACGAAUGGCGUAAUGAUGGCCAGGCUGUCUCCACCCGAGACUCAGUGAAAUUGAACUCGCUGUGAAGAUGCAGUGUACCCGCGGCAAGACGGAAAGACCCCGUGAACCUUUACUAUAGCUUGACACUGAACAUUGAGCCUUGAUGUGUAGGAUAGGUGGGAGGCUUUGAAGUGUGGACGCCAGUCUGCAUGGAGCCGACCUUGAAAUACCACCCUUUAAUGUUUGAUGUUCUAACGUGGACCCGUUACCCGGGUUGCGGACAGUGUCUGGUGGGUAGUUUGACUGGGGCGGUCUCCUCCUAAAGAGUAACGGAGGAGCACGAAGGUUGGCUAAUCCUGGUCGGACAUCAGGAGGUUAGUGCAAUGGCAUAAGCCAGCUUGACUGCGAGCGUGACGGCGCGAGCAGGUGCGAAAGCAGGUCAUAGUGAUCCGGUGGUUCUGAAUGGAAGGGCCAUCGCUCAACGGAUAAAAGGUACUCCGGGGAUAACAGGCUGAUACCGCCCAAGAGUUCAUAUCGACGGCGGUGUUUGGCACCUCGAUGUCGGCUCAUCACAUCCUGGGGCUGAAGUAGGUCCCAAGGGUAUGGCUGUUCGCCAUUUAAAGUGGUACGCGAGCUGGGUUUAGAACGUCGUGAGACAGUUCGGUCCCUAUCUGCCGUGGGCGCUGGAGAACUGAGGGGGGCUGCUCCUAGUACGAGAGGACCGGAGUGGACGCAUCACUGGUGUUCGGGUUGUCAUGCCAAUGGCACUGCCCGGUAGCUAAAUGCGGAAGAGAUAAGUGCUGAAAGCAUCUAAGCACGAAACUUGCCCCGAGAUGAGUUCUCCCUGAGACUUAGAGUCUCCUGAAGGAACGUUGAAGACGACGACGUUGAUAGGCCGGGUGUGUAAGCGCAGCGAUGCGUUGAGCUAACCGGUACUAAUGAACCGUGAGGCUUAA